Non-coding RNA from Camelina sativa (false flax), 481 nucleotides. The record is from RefSeq and is a predicted model, not a curated record. Lineage: Eukaryota; Viridiplantae; Streptophyta; Magnoliopsida; Brassicales; Brassicaceae.
UCAGAAAGAGAAAGAAGGUGAACCAAAUCCAGAAGUUUUAACUGCUGAGUUCUUUACUCCAAGCGAAAACCAAACAGAGGAGUUCACCCAAACCGAAAAGCUCGAUUCAGAAGAUCAGAGGACCCAGAAGCUCGAUUCAGAAGCUCAGAUGACCCAGAAGCUCGAUUCAGAAGCUCAGAUGCUCGAUUCAGAAGAUCAGAUGACCUAGAAGCUCGAUUCAGCUGUUGAUGUGAUGAAGAGAACCUUCCUCAUGAAGGUGGCGAUGAAGAGAAACUUCCUCAGGAAGAUGGCAAUCAAAGUCAUCAUGUCGAUGAAGGUGAAAAUCUAAAUGAUGGACUUGAUAAAGAAGAAGAUGACGAACAAAGUCAUUAUGUACCUGAAGGAGUAAGCCCAAAUGAUGGUGAUGAUGAAAAAGAAGACAAACAGAAUCCACAAGACGAGGGACCAUCAUUUGAUCUUAAAUGUUUUAGUUCAUCUGAGG